UUCUGGUUGAUCCUGCCGGCGGCCACCGCUAUUGGAAUUCGAUUAAGACAUGCGAGUCGAGAGUCGCAAGGACUCGGCGGACCGCUCAGUAACACGCGGAUAACAUGCCCUUGGGUGGGGGAUAACCUCGGGAAACUGAGAAUAAUACCCCAUAGAUCUAAAAAGCUGGAAUGCUUUUAGAUCGAAAACUCCGGUGCCCAAGGAUUGGUCUGCGGCGUAUCAGGUUGUAGUGGGUGUAACGGACCCCCUAGCCUAUGACGCGUAAGGGCCUUGAGAGAGGGAGCCCUGAGAUGGACUCUGAGACAUGAGUCCAGGCCCUACGGGGCGCAGCAGUCGCGAAAACUUCACAAUGGGGGAAACCCCGAUGAGGGAAUUCCAAGUGCCAGCACAUUGUGUUGGCUGUUCUCUGGUCUAAAAAACCGGAGAAGUAAGGGGCCGGGUAAGA
RNAcentral lists this ribosomal RNA (445 nucleotides) under uncultured euryarchaeote. RNAcentral's name for it is "bacterial SSU rRNA". It matches the Rfam family "Archaeal small subunit ribosomal RNA", at positions 1 to 451 of the family's 1478-position model. Lineage: Archaea; Methanobacteriati; Methanobacteriota. The record is from RNAcentral.